RNAcentral lists this ribosomal RNA (380 nucleotides) under uncultured Lyngbya sp. RNAcentral describes it as "bacterial SSU rRNA". It matches the Rfam family "Bacterial small subunit ribosomal RNA", at positions 376 to 770 of the family's 1533-position model. The record is from RNAcentral. Lineage: Bacteria; Bacillati; Cyanobacteriota; Cyanophyceae; Oscillatoriales; Microcoleaceae.
CGAAAGCCUGACGGAGCCAGACCGCGUGAGGGAAGAAGGCCUUUGGGUUGUAAACCUCUUUUCUCAGGGAAGAAGAAAGUGACGGUACCUGAGGAAUCAGCCUCGGCUAACUCCGUGCCAGCAGCCGCGGUAAGACGGAGGAGGCAAGCGUUAUCCGGAAUUAUUGGGCGUAAAGCGUCCGUAGGUGGUGAUUCAAGUCUGCUGUCAAAACCCAGGGCUUAACUCUGGAUCGGCAGUGGAAACUGAAUGACUAGAGUGCGGCAGGGGCAGAGGGAAUUCCCGGUGUAGCGGUGAAAUGCGUAGAGAUCGGGAAGAACACCGGUGGCGAAAGCGCUCUGCUGGGCCGCGACUGACACUGAGGGACGAAAGCUAGGGGAGCG